UUGAGGCAGUGCGUCUGUUUUUCUUCCUUUGGAGGGAGAGCUUCUCCUUCUCAGUUUUUCCUCUUUUGAUUUUUCGUACAAAAAUCAUGAUCUAUGAAGAUCUAACCGUUCAAUUUCAAAUCCGACUUCAGUAACGUGAUCUACGAAACCCGAUCUACGUUUCUACCGAUUGGUUUGAGGUGAUGAACUGAGAGAAUGUACGAAAAGAUUCCCAUGUUGCAGGUACGAAAGUGUAUAAAGCUCAAGGAUAGGAGUUGGUUAGCAUUACAAGAAUUAGAACUGUUCGUUAAUGUAGUUGAUGAUUGUAGUGAUUUCUUGUAUCAAUUUGGAAUGUAAUACUUUAAUUACAUUUGUCACUCAAUAAAUUCCGAUGUAUCUUUUUAAAGAGAAUAAAUUUAUAUUCCGCUGCGUCAGUUAUCUCUGAUGUAGUAACGUCACGUGGGAACUGGAGGUUUCUGCUUACGAAUU
Molecule: long non-coding RNA, 468 nt
Organism: Alnus glutinosa
Lineage: Eukaryota; Viridiplantae; Streptophyta; Magnoliopsida; Fagales; Betulaceae
Exons: 3
Source: RefSeq, a predicted model, not a curated record